This 661-nucleotide ribosomal RNA is filed under the name Fusarium graminearum. RNAcentral's name for it is "eukaryotic LSU rRNA". It matches the Rfam family "Eukaryotic large subunit ribosomal RNA", at positions 1 to 671 of the family's 3401-position model. Lineage: Eukaryota; Fungi; Ascomycota; Sordariomycetes; Hypocreales; Nectriaceae. The record is from RNAcentral.
AACUUCUGAAUGUUGACCUCGGAUCAGGUAGGAAUACCCGCUGAACUUAAGCAUAUCAAUAAGCGGAGGAAAAGAAACCAACAGGGAUUGCCCUAGUAACGGCGAGUGAAGCGGCAACAGCUCAAAUUUGAAAUCUGGCUUUUCGGGCCCGAGUUGUAAUUUGUAGAGGAUGAUUUUGAUGCGGUGCCUUCCGAGUUCCCUGGAACGGGACGCCAUAGAGGGUGAGAGCCCCGUCUGGUUGGAUGCCAAAUCUCUGUAAAUCUCCUUCGACGAGUCGAGUAGUUUGGGAAUGCUGCUCUAAAUGGGAGGUAUAUGUCUUCUAAAGCUAAAUACCGGCCAGAGACCGAUAGCGCACAAGUAGAGUGAUCGAAAGAUGAAAAGCACUUUGAAAAGAGAGUUAAAAAGUACGUGAAAUUGUUGAAAGGGAAGCGUUUAUGACCAGACUUGGGCUUGGUUAAUCAUCUGGGGUUCUCUCCAGUGCACUUUUCCAGUCCAGGCCAGCAUCAGUUUUCGCCGGGGGAUAAAGGCUUCGGGAAUGUGGCUCCCCUCGGGGAGUGUUAUAGCCCGUUGUGUAAUACCCUGGUGGGGACUGAGGUUCGCGCUUCUGCAAGGAUGCUGGCGUAAUGGUCAGCAACGACCCGUCUUGAAACACGGACCAAGG